This 433-nucleotide ribosomal RNA is filed under the name uncultured bacterium. RNAcentral's name for it is "partial 16S ribosomal RNA". It matches the Rfam family "Bacterial small subunit ribosomal RNA", at positions 29 to 507 of the family's 1533-position model. The record is from RNAcentral.
AACGAACGCUGGCGGCAUGCCUAACACAUGCAAGUCGAACGAGACCGUCGGGUCUAGUGGCGCACGGGUGCGUAACGCGUGGGAACCUGCCCUUAGGUUCGGAAUAACUCCCCGAAAGGGGUGCUAAUACCGGAUAAUGUCUUCGGACCAAAGAUUUAUCGCCUUUGGAUGGGCCCGCGUUGGAUUAGCUAGUUGGUAGGGUAAAAGCCUACCAAGGCGACGAUGCAUAGCUGGUCUGAGAGGAUGAUCAGCCACACUGGGACUGAGACACGGCCCAGACUCCUACGGGAGGCAGCAGUGGGGAAUAUUGGACAAGGGGCGAAAGCCUGAUCCAGCAAUGCCGCGUGAGUGAUGAAGGCCUUAGGGUUGUAAAGCUCUUUUACCCGAGAUGAUAAUGACAGUACCGGGAGAAUAAGCACCGGCUAACUCCGUG